CAAUAGCGUAUAUUAAAGUUGUUGCGGUAAAAAAGCUCGUAGUUGGAUUUCUGUUGAGGGCGACCGGUCCAUACCACGUAUGCGCAUCUGGUUCGGCCUUGGCAUCCUCUCGAUAGACGUUUCUGCGCUUGAUUGCGUGGGGCGGAUCUCGGGACUUUUACUUUGAGGAAAUUAGAGUGUUCACGGCAGGCUAUCGCCAGAAUACAUUAGCAUGGAAUAAUACUAUAGGGCCUCGGUUCUAUUUUGUUGGUUUCUAGGACUGAGGUAAUGAUUAAUAGGGACAAUUGGGGGCAUUCGUAUCAAUGCGUCAGAGGUGGAAUUCUUGGAUUGCAUUGCGACGAACUACUGCGAAAGCAUUUGCCAAGGAUGUUUUCAUUGAUCAAGAACGAAAGUAAGGGAUCGAAGAUGAUUAGAUACCGU
Molecule: ribosomal RNA, 420 nt
Filed under: uncultured eukaryote
Lineage: Eukaryota
Description: SSU rRNA
Rfam family: Eukaryotic small subunit ribosomal RNA
Source: RNAcentral